RNAcentral lists this long non-coding RNA (410 nucleotides) under Dunaliella salina. RNAcentral's name for it is "long non-coding RNA (DSAL_LNC000063)". Lineage: Eukaryota; Viridiplantae; Chlorophyta; Chlorophyceae; Chlamydomonadales; Dunaliellaceae. The record is from RNAcentral.
CCCUGCCCCACCUCCUCCACCAGUGGCAGCAGCAGCAGCAGCAGCAGCAGCAGCAGCAGCAGCAGCAGGAGCAGCAGGAGUAGCAGCAGCAGCAGCAGGAGCAGAAUCAGCAACACAUGUGCCCCUUGCCCAUGCAAGCACACAAGGCAGGCCUGCAAGCCCAGGAGGGCAGCAGCAGGAGAUAGCAGCAGCAGCCUCAGUAGCGGCUAUACCCAUGGCUGUGCAUGCAAGCACAGAAGCGUUGCCUGCAGGCACAGAGGGGGGGCAGCAGCAGGAGACAGCAGCAGCACCUACACCCAUGGCUACGCAUGCAUUGAGCAGUUCCCAUUUGAGAGGGCAAUAGCAAAGUGGUCGGCAGCAAAGCAGCGACGGCCAGCGCCACUGGGCACCCAGCAGCAGCAGCAGCAGCA